CAAGUCGAACGAGCAAGAGAGAGCUUGCUUUCUCGAGCGAGUGGCGAACGGGUGAGUAACGCGUGAGGAACCUGCCUCAAAGAGGGGGACAACAGUUGGAAACGACUGCUAAUACCGCAUAAGCCCACGGCUCGGCAUCGAGCAGAGGGAAAAGGAGCAAUCCGCUUUGAGAUGGCCUCGCGUCCGAUUAGCUAGUUGGUGAGGUAACGGCCCACCAAGGCGACGAUCGGUAGCCGGACUGAGAGGUUGAACGGCCACAUUGGGACUGAGACACGGCCCAGACUCCUACGGGAGGCAGCAGUGGGGGAUAUUGCACAAUGGGGGGAACCCUGAUGCAGCGACGCCGCGUGGAGGAAGAAGGUUUUCGGAUUGUAAACUCCUGUCGUUAGGGACGAUAAUGACGGUACCUAACAAGAAAGCACCGGCUAACUACGUGCCAGCAGCCGCGGUAAAACGUAGGGUGCAAGCGUUGUCCGGAAUUACUGGGUGUAAAGGGAGCGCAGGCGGGAAGACAAGUUGGAAGUGAAAACCAUGGGCUCAACCCAUGAAUUGCUUUCAAAACUGUUUUUCUUGAGUAGUGCAGAGGUAGAUGGAAUUCCCGGUGUAGCGGUGGAAUGCGUAGAUAUCGGGAGGAACACCAGUGGCGAAGGCGGUCUACUGGGCACCAACUGACGCUGAGGCUCGAAAGCAUGGGUAGCAAACAGGAUUAGAUACCCUGGUAGUCCACACUGUAAACGAUGAUUACUAGGUGUUGGGGGAUUGACCCCCUCAGUGCCGCAGUUAACACAAUAAGUAAUCCACCUGGGGAGUACGACCGCAAGGUUGAAACUCAAAGGAAUUGACGGGGGCCCGCACAAGCAGUGGAGUAUGUGGUUUAAUUCGAAGCAAC
RNAcentral lists this ribosomal RNA (889 nucleotides) under uncultured bacterium. Its description in RNAcentral is "bacterial SSU rRNA". It matches the Rfam family "Bacterial small subunit ribosomal RNA", at positions 58 to 960 of the family's 1533-position model. The record is from RNAcentral.